This 468-nucleotide ribosomal RNA is filed under the name uncultured bacterium. RNAcentral describes it as "partial 16S ribosomal RNA". It matches the Rfam family "Bacterial small subunit ribosomal RNA", at positions 28 to 507 of the family's 1533-position model. The record is from RNAcentral.
GACGAACGCUGGCGGCGUGCUUAACACAUGCAAGUCGAACGGAAAGGCCCUGCUUUUGUGGGGUGCUCAAGUGGCGAACGGGUGAGUAACACGUGAGUAACCUGCCCUUGACUUUGGGAUAACUACAGGAAACUGGGGCUAAUACCGGAUAGGAGCUCCUGCUGCAUGGUGGGGGUUGGAAAGUUUCGGCGGUUGGGGAUGGACUCGCGGCUUAUCAGCUUGUUGGUGGGGUAGUGGCUUACCAAGGCUUUGACGGGUAGCCGGCCUGAGAGGGUGACCGGCCACAUUGGGACUGAGAUACGGCCCAGACUCCUACGGGAGGCAGCAGUGGGGAAUAUUGCACAAUGGGCGGAAGCCUGAUGCAGCAACGCCGCGUGCGGGAUGACGGCCUUCGGGUUGUAAACCACUUUCGCCUGUGACGAAGCGUGAGUGACGGUAAUGGGUAAAGAAGCACCGGCUAACUACGUG